RNAcentral lists this ribosomal RNA (406 nucleotides) under uncultured bacterium. RNAcentral describes it as "partial 16S ribosomal RNA". It matches the Rfam family "Bacterial small subunit ribosomal RNA", at positions 30 to 526 of the family's 1533-position model. The record is from RNAcentral.
AUUGAACGCUGGCGGCAGGCCUAACACAUGCAAGUCGAGCGAGCGGAGGACGCGUGUGUAAUGUCUGGGAAACUGCCUGCUGGAGGGGGAUAACUCCUGGAAACGGUAUCUAAUACCGCAUACCCUCAGAUGUGCCCAGAUGGGAUUAGCUAGAGGGUGGGGUAACGGCUCACCUAGCCGACGAUCCCGAGCUGGUCUGAGAGGAUGACCAGCCAAACUGGAACUGAGACACGGUCCAGACUCCUACGGGAGGCAGCAGUGGGGAAUAUUGCACAAUGGGCGCAAGCCUGAUGCAGCCAUGCCGCGUGUGUGAAGAAGGCCUUCGGGUUGUAAAGUACUUUCAGCGGGGAGGCGUUACCCGCAGAAGAAGCACCGGCUAACUCCGUGCCAGCAGCCGCGGUAAUAC